AGGAGCACCGUUCUCAAUAGUGGUCCUGUGGUGUUGCCUCCAUAAACUACAAGGGCCUUUUCCGCUCCGCCAUCCAUCUUCCACAGCUGAAAAAGCUAAGCUGCCCUCAAUUGUUGAUUGCCGAGAAAGAAAACAUUCUUCGAUGUGCUGCACCACACAGCAGGUAAGGAGGCCCUAAAGAAGGGGAUUCGAUCUUGUGAAUGGACAUCAUCACUGCCCCCCCGACAAUCUUCCACUUCAACAAGAGUAACCCCCACGACCUCGGCCCCCGAGCAAGCUUUGAAACCUGAGAAAGCUGUCCCGACCUUUGACAUUCAGGCUCCCGCCUCUCACGGUAAGAGGAGCCCACCGGCCCCUCCCGUUCUCCAACCCUUUCGGACAGGAUGUGACCUAUGAGGAGGGCUCUGCAGGAGGGCCUUGACCCCAGACACUGUCCAGACUACGUGUCUGGACCCAACCUGGGUCGAUCAAACCUGAUAA
Non-coding RNA from Nerophis lumbriciformis (worm pipefish), 480 nucleotides. Lineage: Eukaryota; Metazoa; Chordata; Actinopteri; Syngnathiformes; Syngnathidae. The record is from RefSeq and is a predicted model, not a curated record.